UACGGGGGGGCAAGCGUUGUUCGGAAUUACUGGGCGUAAAGGGCUCGUAGGCGGCCAACUAAGUCAGACGUGAAAUCCCUCAGCUUAACUGGGGAACUGCGUCUGAUACUGGAUGGCUUGAGAUUGGGAGAGGGAUGCGGAAUUCCAGGUGUAGCGGUGAAAUGCGUAGAUAUCUGGAGGAACACCGGUGGCGAAGGCGGCAUCCUGGACCAACACUGACGCUGAGGAGCGAAAGCCAGGGGAGCAAACGGG
This 252-nucleotide ribosomal RNA is filed under the name uncultured bacterium. RNAcentral describes it as "partial 16S ribosomal RNA". It matches the Rfam family "Bacterial small subunit ribosomal RNA", at positions 524 to 776 of the family's 1533-position model. The record is from RNAcentral.